AGAUGAAAAGAUGAGGCUGAAAAUGAAACGAAAUGUCGACUUGCGCAUCUUUGCAUAAUAUUAUUUGCAAGGAAAAAAGUGAACUUCAUUUUUCCCGCCUGCGUAAUAACCUUGCUCUGAUUGGUCGCAAGAGAAACCCUUGAAAUAAGCAAGUAACAUCGAGCCUUACAUUUUGUAUACAAAAAGUAAAUUGUUUUUUUUGAUUGUUCACGUUUUAUGAUUUAAAUUGGUUUCAAUUGCUCAUUUUGAUCGUAUUUUAUCAAAUAUAUUGUUUAUUAUCUGCUUAUAACUCUUUUAAUUGUGACUUAGGUUAAUUAUUAAGUCUAUUCCCUUUUCAUUUUACUGUUUAAACGUUUGAUGUUAACUCCUGGCUUUUUCUGGUUUCAUCUUUUCAAUUUCUGGUUUUAUUUUCGCGUUUUCACUGUUUUCUAGUUUUUUUUGGUUAAUUUUUCGUUUUGAUUUCUUUUGCUUUACUUAUUAGGUUUCACCUUUUGAAUGUUGUAAACAAAUGGUAUAACUGAUAUAAAUAGCAUAAAAAUGCAUAAAUGGAUUGGUAUAAGUACAUCAAAGGAUAUUACUAGAUUAAUCAUUUAAUAUGGAUAUGACGAUUGCGGAACAAUUCAGAUUGAUAAUUAAUCCAAUGAAAACUAUGGUGAUGAUGUAAAUAAAUAUAGAAGUCUGAAUUGAUGUGAAUGCUGAUCGCGAAAAGGAAUGGAAAAGAUAAAUUGCAAUCUAUUAUUAUAUUAUUAUAAUUUCUCUUUGUUUGUAUUGUACAUUUCGAGUCAAUGAGAAUUUUGAGAAUAGAAAUGGAAUCAAUUGAAAAUGGUGAAAAGAUGGAAAGGACAACACUAAAAAAGAGAAGUACAAGUUGAAUACAAAAGUAGAAAUUUUGAUUUUCCUUGAGUUGAAGAUUAUUUGAUGGUUCCUUUUAUGAUUUAUCGAUUUCACAGGUAUUCUGGUUUUAUAUAAAUUACUUGGAAAGUAUUGCAUAUAUCAUUAGCAUCAGAAAAGGUGGAAAUGGUUUACAGAUUUCAAUGUUGAUAACCAUUGGUCUUGAUCCUGGGUAAAUCAGGCUUAUUGAGAAGCUGCACCGUUAAACCAGUUUAUCAUCAUUUAGGAUGAUUCGGGAAUUAGUCUAUUGUGCUAUUGGUUUGGAAAAUGAAAUGUAACCAAUGAUCAAGUUAUUUGGGGUUAACUUUAAUGAACUUCAACUGCAUUCAUCAUUUUGGGUAAAACCAUUUAAAUUUUAUUUGAUUUCACCGCUAAUCCCAAACGGAUGCACUCGUAAUUAUGAACCUGAGCAGCCACACUCGGAGUGCACUGACAAGUACGGCAUACGAACCGUUUACAAAAAAUGAAAUAAUAGUGAAAAUUGAAUUAAAUUAAAUUAUAGUUUGAAAAAUGAAAAGGUGAAGAAACAAUUUGAGUAAAGUUAAGUCAUUAGGGAAAGUAAACCUCGAUUACCUCGAACCUUACCUCGAUUGUUUCCGACAAUAAUUAAUGAAAAUUAAACUGUUUGAUGAA
Non-coding RNA from Tetranychus urticae (two-spotted spider mite), 1524 nucleotides. The record is from RefSeq and is a predicted model, not a curated record. NCBI's taxonomy places the organism in Eukaryota, Metazoa, Arthropoda, Arachnida, Trombidiformes, Tetranychidae.